Non-coding RNA from Myotis davidii, 146 nucleotides. NCBI's taxonomy places the organism in Eukaryota, Metazoa, Chordata, Mammalia, Chiroptera, Vespertilionidae. The record is from Rfam.
CGGCCGGGCUGGCGGCGUUGCCGGCCUUGGACACCCGGAGAGCUGCCCGGAGCUGACCUUCCUGCCGGCCGCGCUCUGACGGCCCCCGGUUCUGCCUUCCUUGCCGAGGUCCCCGCUGCCGGGCUCCGGCCCCAGGUAAUACCCUU